GCAGCCGUGGCCGAGCGGUUAAGGCGAUGGGCUAGAAAUUCAUCGGGGUCUCCCCGCACACGUUCGAAUCAUGUCGACUGCG
Molecule: non-coding RNA, 82 nt
Organism: Ixodes scapularis (black-legged tick)
Lineage: Eukaryota; Metazoa; Arthropoda; Arachnida; Ixodida; Ixodidae
Source: Rfam